Molecule: ribosomal RNA, 253 nt
Filed under: uncultured bacterium
Lineage: Bacteria
Description: partial 16S ribosomal RNA
Rfam family: Bacterial small subunit ribosomal RNA
Source: RNAcentral
UACGGGGGGGGCAAGCGUUGUUCGAAAUUACUGGGCGUAAAGGGCUUGUAGGCGGCCAACUAAGUCAGACGUGAAAUCCCUCGGCUUAACCGGGGAACUGCGUCUGAUACUGGAUGGCUUGAGUUUGGGAGAGGGACGCGGAAUUCCAGGUGUAGCGGUGAAAUGCGUAGAUAUCUGGAGGAACACCGGUGGCGAAGGCGGCGUCCUGGACCAACACUGACACUGAGGAGCGAAAGCCAGGGGAGCAAACGGG